Molecule: ribosomal RNA, 984 nt
Filed under: Triticum aestivum (bread wheat)
Lineage: Eukaryota; Viridiplantae; Streptophyta; Magnoliopsida; Poales; Poaceae
Description: partial small subunit ribosomal RNA
Source: RNAcentral
AUGUCGACACCGAGAGCUCCUCCGAGCCUGGCCACGGCGGCGACGGCUAUCCUGGCCGUCCUGGCCGCGGCGCUCGUCACCACGGGAGCUCGCGCGCAAAUGUGCGGCGCGCAGGCCAACGGCGCCAAGUGCGCGAACUGCCUCUGCUGCAGCCGCUUCGGGUUCUGCGGCAGCACGGCCGACUACUGCGGCGCCGGCUGCCAGACCCAGUGCAGCGGCUGCGGCAACACUCCUACCGGCGCCAAGGCCGUGGCGUCCAUCGUGUCCAGGGCCCUCUUCGAGCGGCUCCUCCUACACCGCAAUGACGCGUCGUGCCUGGCCCGCGGGUUCUACACGUACGACGCGUUCCUCGCGGCUGCCGCGGCGUUCCCUGCCUUCGCCGGCACGACGUUCAGCACCAACACGCGGAAGCGGGAGGUGGCCGCGUUCCUGGGCCAGACAUCCCACGAGACCACCGGCGGGUGGCCGACGGCGCCCGACGGCCCCUACUCGUGGGGCUACUGCUUCAAGCAGGAGAGGAACCCGCCGUCCAACUACUGCGAACCCAGGGAGGAGUGGCCGUGCGCGCCCGACAAGCAGUACUAUGGCCGCGGCCCCAUCCAGCUCUCCUACAACUACAACUACGGACCGGCGGGCCGCGCGAUCGGCGAGGGCCUGCUGAACCAGCCGGAGUUGGUGGAGACAGACCCGGUGGUCUCAUUCAAGACGGCCCUAUGGUUCUGGAUGACCCCGCGGGGUAACAAGCCGUCGUCCCACGCCGUGAUCACGGGGCAGUGGAGGCCGACGCUCGCAGACUUGGCCGCCGGCCGGUUUCCCGGAUACGGCGUGAUCACCAACAUCAUCAACGGCGGGCUCGAGUGCGGGAUCGGGCAGGACUCACGGGUAGCCGACCGGAUCGGGUUCUACAAGCGCUACUGUAAUGUUCUCGGUGUCAGCUACGGGAGCAACCUGGAUUGCUACAGGCAGAGGCCAUUCACUAGCUGA